Molecule: long non-coding RNA, 789 nt
Filed under: Homo sapiens (human)
Lineage: Eukaryota; Metazoa; Chordata; Mammalia; Primates; Hominidae
Description: HSALNT0307136
Source: RNAcentral
CCUGGACUCAAGUGAUCUGCCGUCCUUGGCCUCCCAAAGUGCUGGAAUUACAGGCGUGAGCCACUGCACCUGACCUCCAUUUUCCUCUGGUCUUUCAGAGAGCCCAGGCAGAAGCUAUUAUCAUCAAAGGAUGAUUGCAGAAAGGAUGACCUACAAGUGGAUGGUCAGAUCUGGCUGCAAAUGGAUGUCUGAAAGAAAACGGGGAUCCUAGGAAACCCAUCACAGCCCUCUAUGAGCUUCAGAAACCAGCAAGCAGUCCCAGCUAAGGUCCCGGUCAGCAGCCAGCAUUGACCACCAGAUGUGUGAAUGAAGAGGCCUUCAGAUGAUUGCAGCCCCUAUUGUUAAGGCAACCCCAACCUCCGAGUCUUCCCAGCAGAGGAUUCAGCUACUAUGGAGUCAAGAUAAGUCAUUCCCACUGUACCCUGUCUGGGGUCCUGACACAUGAAGAUUGGAAGUGGUUUGUCACAUAGCAAUAGUAACUGAAACACUGGGAGAGGGACGUCUUUAAGAGGAGAAAUUAAGUUCCCAAUGAGAUUUUAAAGAUGUACUAAUGAAACAAUCAAGUAGAGAUAUCAAGUAGUUAGUUGGACAUGUGAGCGUAAGCAGACUUCUUGGCUGGAGAUAUACUAAUGGCAAACAGCAUAUGGAUGUCAUUUAAUUUCCCAGGCCUGGGUGAGAUCACCUACAGCAGGAGGUGGACAGAGAAGAGGAGCUGGUUCAAGACCUCAUUCUGAGGAAGCCCAGUAUUUAGAGAGAUGGGUGUCUCGCUAUAUUGCCCAGACUGGUCUC